AAAACGGCUCUUUUCAGAGCCACCAUAAAAUUAAAAAAAGAUUUUU
Molecule: non-coding RNA, 46 nt
Organism: Anopheles dirus
Lineage: Eukaryota; Metazoa; Arthropoda; Insecta; Diptera; Culicidae
Source: Rfam